Molecule: ribosomal RNA, 253 nt
Filed under: uncultured bacterium
Lineage: Bacteria
Description: partial 16S ribosomal RNA
Rfam family: Bacterial small subunit ribosomal RNA
Source: RNAcentral
UACGUAGGGGGCAAGCGUUGUUCGGAGUUACUGGGCGUAAAGGGUGCGUAGGCGGUUGUUUAAGUUUGGUGUGAAAUCUCCCGGCUCAACUGGGAGGGUGCGCCGAAUACUGAAUGACUAGAGUGCGGGAGAGGAGAGUGGAAUUCCUGGUGUAGCGGUGAAAUGCGUAGAUAUCAGGAGGAACACCAGUGGCGAAGGCGAUCAUCUGGGGCUGUUCUGACGCUGAGGAGCGAAAGCUAGGGGAGCAAACGGG